Molecule: ribosomal RNA, 367 nt
Filed under: uncultured soil bacterium
Lineage: Bacteria
Description: bacterial SSU rRNA
Rfam family: Bacterial small subunit ribosomal RNA
Source: RNAcentral
GGAUUAACGCUGGCGGCGUGCCUAACACAUGCAAGUCGAACGCACAUUUAUGUGAGUGGCGGACGGCUGAGUAACACGUUGGUACCUGCCCCGAACUCGGGAAUAAGCACUGGAAACGGUGUCUAAUGCCCGAUAGUCUCCUUGGAGUAAAGCCUUGGCGGUUCGGGAGGGGCCUGCGCAUGAUUAGUUGUUGGUGAGGUAACGGCUCACCAAGACUUCGAUCAUUAGGUGGUCUGAGAGGAUGAUCACCCAGACUGGGACUGAGACACGGCCCAGACUCCUACGGGAGGCAGCAGUGAGGAAUCUUGCACAAUGGGGGAAACCCUGAUGCAGCAACGCCGCGUGGAGGAAGACGGUCUUCGGAUUA